CCGGAGCCAGACGUCCGCUGUGCCGUCCUCACAGCAAGGCCUGCUCCGAGGCCCCGGGCUAAGAGGCCGGUGUCACCAUACAGCGGGUACAAUGGGCAGCUGCUGACCAGUGUGUACCAGCCCACUGAGAUGGCCCUGAUGCACAAAGUUCCGUCCGAAGGAGCUUACGACAUCAUCCUCCCACGGGCCACCGCCAACAGCCAGGUGAUGGGCAGUGCCAACUCGACCCUGCGGGCUGAAGACAUGUACUCGGCCCAGAGCCACCAGGCGGCCACACCGCCGAAAGACGGCAAGAACUCUCAGGUCUUUAGAAACCCCUACGUGUGGGACUGAGUCAGCGGUGGCGAGGAGAGGCGGGCGGAUUUGGGGAGGGCCCUGAGGACCUGGCCCCGG
RNAcentral lists this unclassified non-coding RNA (393 nucleotides) under Homo sapiens (human). Its description in RNAcentral is "G protein-coupled receptor class C group 5 member C (ENSG00000291917.1)". Lineage: Eukaryota; Metazoa; Chordata; Mammalia; Primates; Hominidae. The record is from RNAcentral.